RNAcentral lists this ribosomal RNA (671 nucleotides) under uncultured bacterium. RNAcentral's name for it is "bacterial SSU rRNA". It matches the Rfam family "Bacterial small subunit ribosomal RNA", at positions 95 to 780 of the family's 1533-position model. The record is from RNAcentral.
GUGGCGGACGGGUGAGUAACGCGUAAAGAACUUGCCUUACAGACUGGGACAACAUUUGGAAACGAAUGCUAAUACCGGAUAUUAUGACUGAGUCGCAUGAUUUGGUUAUGAAAGCUAUAUGCGCUGUGAGAGAGCUUUGCGUCCCAUUAGUUAGUUGGUGAGGUAACGGCUCACCAAGACGAUGAUGGGUAGCCGGCCUGAGAGGGUGAACGGCCACAAGGGGACUGAGACACGGCCCUUACUCCUACGGGAGGCAGCAGUGGGGAAUAUUGGACAAUGGACCAAGAGUCUGAUCCAGCAAUUCUGUGUGCACGAUGAAGUUUUUCGGAAUGUAAAGUGCUUUCAGUUGGGAAGAAGAAAGUGACGGUACCAACAGAAGAAGCGACGGCUAAAUACGUGCCAGCAGCCGCGGUAAUACGUAUGUCGCAAGCGUUAUCCGGAUUUAUUGGGCGUAAAGCGCGUCUAGGCGGCAUAGUAAGUCUGAUGUGAAAAUGCGGGGCUCAACCCCGUAUUGCGUUGGAAACUGCUAAACUAGAGUACUGGAGAGGUAGGCGGAACUACAAGUGUAGAGGUGAAAUUCGUAGAUAUUUGUAGGAAUGCCGAUGGGGAAGCCAGCCUACUGGACAGAUACUGACGCUAAAGCGCGAAAGCGUGGGUAGCAAACAGGAUUA